Molecule: long non-coding RNA, 402 nt
Filed under: Olea europaea (common olive)
Lineage: Eukaryota; Viridiplantae; Streptophyta; Magnoliopsida; Lamiales; Oleaceae
Description: long non-coding RNA (OEUR_LNC003716)
Source: RNAcentral
AACAAGGCUGAGGAUGAGUUGAAAGAAAUCUCUUCCGAAGUCAUGAUUGAAGACUCUUUGAUGGUUAGUUUGUCUGCUCAGAUGAAGGAACUUCAAGCCAAAAUAGACGACUGCAAGGCGAGAAUGUCUGUUAAAAAACAUAACGCCUCCUAGGGAAUUGAGCGAACUAAGUCCUUGGUUGAGCAGUACAAGAAGUUGGAAGUUGAUGAUAAUGUUGUGGCCGAAUUGAACAUCACUUCCUCUCGGCAGAAUGAGGAUUGGGAAAAACUUAGGGAAUGAAUUCGUUCGGUGUGGGGUGGACUGUAAUUAAGACAUAUGACACUUUUUUCUUUUGUAAUUUCGCAUUUGAUUUUCCCUUUGUAACCUUGUUCAUUAUUAAUGAACAUAUAUGUUAACUUCUUG